GAGAUCUGUUAAAUUCAUUUUAAAUCAUAUUCUGUUAAUGACAUUGUGCUGCAGCCUCAGACUGGGAUCAGUCAUUUUAAUUUCUUUUAGGAUUUCCCAGUGUGAUUGGCUGCAUAGAUGCACACACAUCCCCAUCACAGCUCCCUCACAUCAUGAACAGGAAGUCCAUUCACAGCAUAAAUGUGCAGGUAGGCUACAGGUAGACUGACUACUGUUUCUAAAUGUUAAAGACUGCAUCAUAGUUCAACAUCUGUCAUUCUCUGCACUGUCCAGAUCAUAUGUGAUGCUGCAUGCAUCAUUUCUAAUGUGGAGGCCACGUGGUCUGGGUCUGUUCAUGACUCCAGGAUUUAUGGAGAGUCUAACCUGAGCAACAGACUGCAGCGUGGAGAGUUUGAUGGCCUUCUGCUGGGUGACAGGGGUUACCAUGCCAACCCAGGCUGAUGACCUCAUACCCUGACCCUGAACCAGGCCCCCAACAGAACUUCAACCGGGCUCACUGCAGGACCAGAGCCCGGGUGGAGAUGACCAUAGGCCUGCUGAAAGCCCGUUUCCAGAGCCUACGUCUCCUCAGGGUGACCCCUGAGAGGGCCUGUGAUAUUACUGUGGCAUGUGUUGUUCUUCAUAAUAUUACCACUAUUAGAGGAGAGCAACACCCUGCCCUACAAACUGAAGACCCAGAUGAUGAGCCCAUCCACCUGCAGCUAUCCAGGACAGCAGAGCAGUCAGAGACACCGUAUGCAAGAAUCACUUUAGAGUUUAAGUCUCCAUCAUCACCACCACAGCAAAUAAAGACAUGAAA
Acanthochromis polyacanthus (spiny chromis) is the source of this 799-nucleotide long non-coding RNA. RefSeq lists it as uncharacterized. The record is from RefSeq and is a predicted model, not a curated record. The transcript has 2 exons. NCBI's taxonomy places the organism in Eukaryota, Metazoa, Chordata, Actinopteri, Pomacentridae.